UCUCUCUCCAAGACGUUGCACCGAGAGGUCCCUCUCUUCUUCCUCACGAUGAGUCUGCUCCGAAGUAAAGCCUGAGCUUCGCUGUAGCAAGAAGCUAUGGCAAGGCUCAUCCAAGCGCGUCAUUGGUGGUGCCCAAUUCUGGAGUAGGAGGGCUGAUUCCGGAGAGUAGAGGAGGGCAAUUCUCUUUGUCUGGUUCUUCCUUCUUUGUUGUAGCUCUCUCGAGUUAAGGUCUUUCUUAGGCAAGCACUGAAUUGUAUUGAUUUUGAGGUAAAUAAAGGGGAACAGAGUUAGUCCUCUGCAGAUGGUGGCAAGCCCAUGAUGGGCGGUGGCAACCUGUAACGGCGGGUAGCAGGCGGUUUCUGGCCAGUGGCGUGGGCGUGGGUGUCCGGCCAAGGGUGGUGGGCGACGGUGUCCGACGGCAGGUGGCCAGCAGCAGGUGUACAGAGGUGGCGGCGAUGGGUGGCUAGCCGGCAGUGGCAGUUGGUUGCAUGUAGACAUGUGGCACAUAACUCUGCUUUAAAUAAACUACUAUUUCUUUCGCAUACAAAAAAUUGGAAAACAAGUUCGGCAACGUAGCAUUUUUGUAUUUUUAAAAAUAUACCAUCAAGGUCCAUCAAUUCGAUAACAUAUUGGGAUUUGAUUAUGGCCUUAGUUUUAGUAAAAUAAUGUUGAGAAAUUUAAA
Molecule: long non-coding RNA, 682 nt
Organism: Prunus dulcis (almond)
Lineage: Eukaryota; Viridiplantae; Streptophyta; Magnoliopsida; Rosales; Rosaceae
Exons: 2
Source: RefSeq, a predicted model, not a curated record